GACGAACGCUGGCGGCGUGCUUAACACAUGCAAGUCGAGCGGUAAGGCCCUUUCGGGGGUACACGAGCGGCGAACGGGUGAGUAACACGUGGGUGACCUGCCCUCAGCUCUGGGAUAAGCCUGGGAAACCGGGUCUAAUACCGGAUAUGACUCCAUGACGCAUGUUGUGGGGUGGAAAGCCUUGUGCGGCUGAGGAUGGGCCCGNGGCCUAUCAGCUU
RNAcentral lists this ribosomal RNA (218 nucleotides) under uncultured bacterium. RNAcentral's name for it is "partial 16S ribosomal RNA". It matches the Rfam family "Bacterial small subunit ribosomal RNA", at positions 28 to 247 of the family's 1533-position model. The record is from RNAcentral.